GCCUACGGGAGGCCGCAGUUGUUAAUAUUUCACAAUUUUUUCAACCCUGAUGCAGCGACGCCGCGUGAGUGAAGAAGUAUCUCGGUAUGUAAAGCUCUAUCAGCAGGAAAGAUAAUGACGGUACCUGACUAAGAAGCCCCGGCUAACUACGUGCCAGCAGCCGCGGUAAUACGUAGGGGGCAAGCGUUAUCCGGAUUUACUGGGUGUAAAGGGAGCGUAGACGGCAGCGCAAGUCUGGAGUGAAAUGCCGGGGCCCAACCCCGGAACUGCUUUGGAAACUGUGCGGCUCGAGUGCGGGAGAGGUA
This 305-nucleotide ribosomal RNA is filed under the name uncultured bacterium. RNAcentral describes it as "bacterial SSU rRNA". It matches the Rfam family "Bacterial small subunit ribosomal RNA", at positions 337 to 659 of the family's 1533-position model. The record is from RNAcentral.